UUUAUGCAUCCCCCCGGAGGUGGAUACCUCGGCUCGUGUAUCGAUGAAGAACGCAGCAAGGUGCGAUAAUUCGGGCAAAUCGCAAUGCUGAGUUAAUCAUUGAAAUUUUGAACGUAUAAAUCAAUGGUGUUAGCACCAUUGGUACGUUUGAUCGUGUGUCAAUGUUAUUGUAUCAGAU
RNAcentral lists this ribosomal RNA (178 nucleotides) under Tetracapsuloides bryosalmonae. RNAcentral's name for it is "5.8S ribosomal RNA". The stretch from base 9 to 161 matches the Rfam family "5.8S ribosomal RNA". From Rfam's summary of the family: 5.8S ribosomal RNA (5.8S rRNA) is a component of the large subunit of the eukaryotic ribosome. It is transcribed by RNA polymerase I as part of the 45S precursor that also contains 18S and 28S rRNA. Lineage: Eukaryota; Metazoa; Cnidaria; Myxozoa; Malacovalvulida; Saccosporidae. The record is from RNAcentral.